Molecule: ribosomal RNA, 786 nt
Filed under: Triticum aestivum (bread wheat)
Lineage: Eukaryota; Viridiplantae; Streptophyta; Magnoliopsida; Poales; Poaceae
Description: partial small subunit ribosomal RNA
Source: RNAcentral
AUGAAUAUGGCGACUUGCAUUCGUAAGGUGGCCUCGGAGGAGUUUGGAGUGUCCAGGGGAAGGAGAAGCGAAGAUAAGGAUAACUGGUGGUGGAAUGAUGAUGUCCAGAAGGCGAUUAAAGAGAAGAAAGAUUGCUUCAGACGCCUAUACCUAGAUAAGAGUGCAGACAACCUAGAGAAGUACAAGAUGGCGAAGAAGGCCGCAAAGCGAGAUGUUGGUGAAGCAAGGUGUCGGGCAUCUGAGGACCUCCACCAACGGUUAGGCAUGAAGGAAGGCGAAAGGGACAUCUAUAAGAUGGCCAAGAUCCGAGAGAGGAAGACGAGGGAUAUUGGCCAAGUCAAAUGCAUCAAGGACGAAGCAGGCCAACUCUUGGUGAAGGACGAGGAGAUUAAGCAUAGAUGGCGGGAGUACUUUGACAAGCUGUUCAAUGGGGAGAAUGAGAGUUCUACCAUUGAACUGGACGACUCCUUUGAUGAGACCAGCAUGCGUUUUGUGCGGAGAAUCCAGGAGUCUGAGGUCAAGGAGGCUUUAAAAAGGAUGAAAAGAGGCAAGGCGAUGGGCCCUGAUUGUAUCCCCAUUGAGGUGUGGAAAGGUCUCGGGGACAUAGCGAUAGUAUGGCUAACCAAGCUUUUCAACCUCAUUUUUUGGGUAAACAAGAUGCCAGAAGAAUGGAGACGGAAUAUAUUAGUACCAAUCUUCAAGAACAAGGGGGAUGUUCAGAGUUGUACUAAUUACCGUGGAAUUAAGCUGAUGAGCCAUACAAUGAAGCUAUGGGAGAGUCAUUGA